Molecule: long non-coding RNA, 693 nt
Filed under: Fukomys damarensis (Damara mole-rat)
Lineage: Eukaryota; Metazoa; Chordata; Mammalia; Rodentia; Bathyergidae
Description: lncRNA (ENSFDAG00000030316.1)
Source: RNAcentral
ACCUGUUCCUUUUGAGACUUUACCAGAUUGAGAAGUCAAGGAGACAGAGAUCUAUGAUCAAUACUGUCCUGAGCUGGAGGUCUUGCAGGCCAUAUUCAAGAAGAAACAACCUGAUGGUGAAAAAAAAAGAUGAUGGUUCUUCAAAAACUGGAGCCCAAGAUUCUCAUGCUUUCUUUAAAUCAGUCAGGAUGAGACUUUCAGUCCCUGGCCGUCCAGGAUCAAUGCGCCCUCCUCAGCCUGAAAUAGUUACAUGAAGAUGGACGGUUGGCCUUCUGCAUCCCUUAAGAUUAAGGAAUCAAAGUCUCAGGGGAGCAAAUGAGAUAGCAUAGAAGAAAUUUAAAGCAGGCAGAAAGGAGACAAUGAAAAUCAUAACUUAAAAAUUAAAACUGUAGUCUCAGGACACAAGCCUAACCACAUAAGCCUGAGCAAUUCCCUUCCAUCUGCAAAUGGGUUCAGCUACUCCCUUUUUACUUACAAAUAGUCCACUUUCACUUGUAAACAGAUCACCUUUUCACCUGUAAAGUAGGUUUUCCCCUACAGACAGACGUUUAUCUCACUGUGAGUGAGCCAUCCUCCCCUAUGCAGCAAACAGAACAAGACUACAGUGUAUCAAAUCCCACAGAUUUCCAUCUUCAAGACACUUGAGUGCGUACUAAAAUUCUGCCUCAUAAACCCUUCCUGUGCCUCUCGCCG